GACGAACGCUGGCGGCGUGCUUAACACAUGCAAGUCGAACGAUGAAGAAGAGACACGCGCACUUCGGUUCAAAUUUCACUUCGGAUUAGUGGCAGACGGGUGAGUAACGCGUGAGCAACCUACCUCUUACAAAGGGAUAGCCUCGGGAAACCGUGAUUAAUACCAUAUGACACCUUCAUAAGGCAUCUUAAGAAUGUUAAAGCUACGGCGGUAAGAGAUGGGCUCGCGUCCCAUUAGCUAGUUGGUGAGGUAACGGCCCACCAAGGCGACGAUGGGUAACCGGACUGAGAGGGUGAACGGUCACAUUGGAACUGAGACACGGUCCAAACUCCUACGGGAGGCAGCAGUGGGGAAUAUUGCACAAUGGAGGGAACUCUGAUGCAGCGACGCCGCGUGAGCGAUGAAGGAAUUCGUUUCGUAAAGCUCUGUUCUAUGGGAAGAAAAGGACUGUACCAUAGGAGAAAGCCCCGGCUAAAUACGUG
Molecule: ribosomal RNA, 482 nt
Filed under: uncultured bacterium
Lineage: Bacteria
Description: partial 16S ribosomal RNA
Rfam family: Bacterial small subunit ribosomal RNA
Source: RNAcentral